RNAcentral lists this ribosomal RNA (263 nucleotides) under uncultured archaeon. RNAcentral's name for it is "partial 16S ribosomal RNA". It matches the Rfam family "Archaeal small subunit ribosomal RNA", at positions 719 to 982 of the family's 1478-position model. The record is from RNAcentral.
AGUCACUGACAUUAGAUACCCGGGUAGUCCAGGGUGUAAACGCUGCAGACUUGGUGUUGGAAGUCCUUUGGGGGCAUUCAGUGCCGGAGAGAAGUUGUUAAGUCUGCUACUUGGGAGUACGUCCGCAAGGAUGAAACUUAAAGGAAUUGGCGGGGAGCACCGCAACGGGAGGAGCGUGCGGUUUAAUUGGAUUCAACACCGUAAAACUCACCAGGGAAGACUGUUACAUGAAAGCCGAGAUGAAGACUCUGCUAGAUUUUCAG